Lynx canadensis (Canada lynx) is the source of this 4071-nucleotide RNA transcript. RefSeq lists it as uncharacterized. The record is from RefSeq and is a predicted model, not a curated record. The transcript is spliced from 3 exons. NCBI's taxonomy places the organism in Eukaryota, Metazoa, Chordata, Mammalia, Carnivora, Felidae.
ACUGUGAGAUCAUGACCUGAGCUGAAGUCUGACACUCAACCGACUGAGCCACCCAAGUGCCCCGCCCCCGCCCUUCCCCAUCAACUUUCAUACUGUGAUUCCAGCAUUUUAUAAUGAUCACUGCCUGCAUUCAUUGUUUCGUGCCGCUUGCAGAUGACAAGUUUUCUGAUUCUAUCAUUCUCUUAGCUUCUAUUAGCUGGAAUUCUUCUAUAAAGGAAGACUUUCUGAAAUACAGCUGGUCCAGUAAAGGUUAUGGGACAGAACCAGAGUACACCUCUCUCCCUUCUUCUAGCUAAUUUCAAGGAUGUCCGGGCUGGAAGAGGGGAGAGAGGCCAUAACCUAAGCCUGGACAUCCGCCGGUCGAGACUCUUCACUUUCUGCUGGUCUGAGUGGCCCACUUUCGGGGUGGGCUGGCCUACUGAGGGCACUUUUUGUUUGCCUAUAGCUGCCAAGGUCAGGGCCACCCAGACCAGGUUCCCUACAUCCCCGUCUGGAAAGAUCUUGUUGAAAACCCUCCACCCUAUCUUCCCCCUCCCCUUGCACCCCAGGCCCUGUCCGCAGCGGCCGCCCCACCUGUUGCCCCGCUGGUUGCCCCUCAAGGGGAACCGGGGGGGGGGGGGGGCGGGAAGCGGCAGCUGUGCCAGAACCAGGGAGGCUACAGGCAGCAGCCGUGCCUAGCCCUAUUAAAAAUGAAACCAACCGUGAAGGGCCAGUCGGCCAAACUCGCGGGCGCACCCAGUGUGAGCCAAGCUCUCGCCUCCCCCACUCCACUGUAGCCUUACCCCUGCGGGAAAUAGGACCCCCCGAUGAAACGGGCAAUCCCCGACUCCAGUAUUGGUCCUUCUCCACCACACCAGUGACCUAUAUAAUUGAAAAACCCAAAAUGCUCGGUUUUCUGAUAACCCUAGAGAUCUUAUAGCCCUCCUAGAGAGCAUAAUGUUCACCCACCAGCCUACCUGGGAUGACUGCCAACAGCUUUUGCGAAUCCUGUUCACCACGGAAGAAAGGGAGAGAAUUCAACUUGCGCGGAAGCUGGUCCCGGAAGAAGAUGGUCGACCCACUGUUAACCCUGACCUCAUUAAUGCAGCGUUUCCCCUGACUCGGCCUGAUUGGGACUACAACUCGGCAGAAGGUAGGGGACGACUGCUCAUUUAUCGCCAGACUCUAAUGGCGGGUCUCCGGGCUGCAGCACGCAAGCCCACCAAUUUGGCCAAGGUGUACUCGGCAAUACAAGGUAAGACAGAGAGCCCUGCCAACUUUUUAGAAAGAUUAAUGGAAGCCUUUAGGCAGUACACUCCCAUGGACCCUGAGGCCCCUGAAAAUCUGUCUUUUGUAAACCAGGCUGCCCCUGACAUCAAAAAGAAACUCCAAAAAUUAGAGGAUUUAGAAGGAAAACAGAUCCAAGAUUUACUCCGCAUUGCUCAGCGGGUAUAUAAUAAUAGGGACGCUCCAGAGGAUAAGCAGAAAACUCGCCCCCCAGGCGCCCCCUAGACAAAGACCAAUGCGCCUACUGUAAAGAAAAAGGACAUCGGAUUCGUGACUGUCCCAAAAAGAAGCAACUGCGCUCGGGGUCAGAGCCAUGGCAAACCAAAGCGGCCCCCAUCCUAUUUACCCAGAACUCAGGAAUUCCUGGGGUCUGCGGGAUUCUGCUGGUUGUGGAUCCCAGGUUUUGCUGAAAUGGCCAAACCCCUUUACGCAGUCUCUAAAAACCAACCAUCAUUUGAAUGGUCUGCAGAAGCUGAGCAGGCAUUCCAACAGAUAAAGAGAGCUCUCCUAUCGGCCCCAGCUCUAGGACUGCCCGAUAUCUCUAAGCCCUUCCACUUAUAUGUGGAUGAGCAUAAAGGCAUAGCCAAGACAGUGCUAACCCAGCAUCCAGGUCCGUGGCCCAGACCAGUGGCCUAUCUCUCAAAGAAAAAAAAAACUGGACCCUGUAGCCGCAGGAUGGCCCCCUUGUCUCCGGAUAAUAGUGGCUACAGCCCUAAUGGUUAAAGACGCCGAUAAGCUGUCCCUGGGUCAAGAGUUACAUGUCACCACACCCCACGCCAUCGAAGGAGUACUCAAGCAGCCCCCUGAUAGGUGGAUGAGCAAUGCUUGGAUGGUCCACUAUCAGGGACUCCUGUUAAAUCCCUUGCGGACCACAUACACCCCUCCCCAAACUCUAAACCCGGCCUCGCUGCUACCCGACCCUGACCUGGACUCCCCGCUCCAUGACGGUGCCGACAUCCUAGCGCAGAUCCAUGGAACAAGGAAAGAUCUACAGGACCGGCCAUUACCUGAUGCUGAGGUCACCUGGUUUACUGACGGAAGCAGCUUCGUCCAUCAAGGACAGAGGAAAUAACCUCGCUGACCAGACUGCACGCCAGGUAGCACAAAACCCCAUUCAAGUACUCCCUGUGCAGCUACCAGACCCAGGGCCCCGAGAUUUACCCCCAUAGCCUGAAUACUCAGAAGAUGAUCUUAUCUGGAUGCGCGAGUUCCCCAUGACCCAAGUUACAGACGGAUGGUGGAGGGACUCCAGAGACCGCCUUAUCCUUCCCGAAAAAUUGGGCCACGCAAUCCUGACAAAAAUACUCCAGAACGCGCACCCACACGCCACAGCCCAAGGCCACCGAAAAAGAGGAACCAUACCAGGAGCCCACUGGGAAGUGGACUUCACCGAGGUAAAGCCCGGCAAAUACGGCUAUAAAUACUUAGUGUUCGUAGACACUUUUUCAGGAUGGACUGAAGCCUUUCCAACCAAGAAGAAAACGGCACAGAUAGUAGCCAAAAAGAUCCUAGAAAAAAUCCUGCUCAGGUAUGGUUUUCCAGUCAUGAUAGGGUCAGACAAUGGACCUGCAUUCGUCUCUAAGGUAAGUCAGGGAUUGGCUUCCGUACUUGGGGCAGAUUAGAAAUUACAUUGUGCCUACCGGCCCCAAAGCUCAGGACAAGUAAAAAAAUAAAUAAAUAAAACAUUAAAAGAGACCCUUACUAAAUUGACUAUGGAGACUGGCGCUAAUUGGGUAGAGUUACUCCCCUACGCUCUGUACAGGGUUCGCAACUCCCCAUGCAAGUUGGGACUUACACCCUAUGAAAUCAUGUUUGGCCGACCCACACCUAUCAUACCUACCUCAUCAUACCUACCUCAUUCAAUUAGACCAAGAUAACAGCCUCUUGUCUUUUCUCAGGGCUCUACAGCGGGUUCAUGAGGCCGUGUGGCCUAAACUAAAAGAACUGUAUGAGACGGGGCCCCCACCCACUCCUCAUCAGUAUCGUCCAGGAGACUGGGUCCUCGUCAAGCAACACCGGCAGGAGAACCUUGAACCCAGGUGAAAAGGACCUUACCAAAUCAUCCUGACGACUCCCACCACCAUCAAGGUAGAUGACCUCCCCACCUGGAUUCACCACACCCACGUGAAGCCUGUCGACCCGCUAUCUGACCUCGUGGGACACACUGAUAAAAAUACUACUUGGACUGUAGACUGGAGUAAGAAAAACCCCCUCAAACUAACCUUGCGCCGUGCCUCCCCUAGACAUGUUCAAGAUAGUAACCCUUGUCCUACUAGCCCUCAACCUCAACCUCCUGGAGGUAGGACUAAAUGCCCCCGUUGACAAACAGAAAUUGUACAGAGCUCUGUAUGGAAGGCCCUGUGAUUGCAGAGGUGGCGUAGUUAGAACCCUUACCCUGCCACAUGGUAACAGACUAGUAGCUGGCUCUGUAGGAAGGGGUGGUCACUAUCAGCGAAGAUACACUCAAACCCAAGACUGUGGGACCACAAUUGCUCACUUAACCCAGACCUAUGACAUCACAGGACCCCCAAAACAGCAGUGGUUAUGUGUUGACAAACCUGAGCCCCUGCCCCCCACAGCAGAAUGCCCUUGCUCUACUUUCCAGGAGUCGAUGCAUAGCUCUUGUUAUGACUCCUAUCAGCAAUGUAUAGGGCCAGACAACUCCACUACCUACUUUACAGCUAUCCUACAGAGUAACAGGGCAGCAAAAGCUAGUGAUAAUAAUAUGCAACUUCAAGCCGGCUGCCGUGGCUCAGUUGGAGCCGCCGUCUGCUGGAACCCCCAUGCCCAUCCCUAGUUUAAACU